GAAGGGGGCUAGCGUUGCUCGGAAUGACUGGGCGUAAAGGGCGCGCAGGCGGUUUGGACAGUCAGAUGUGAAAUUCCCGGGCUUAACCUGGGGGCUGCAUUUGAUACGUUCAGACUAGAGUGUGAAAGAGGGUUGUGGAACUCCAGGUGUAGUGGUGAAAUUCGUAGAUAUUUGGAAGAACACCGGUGGCGAAGGCGGCGACCUGGUUCACAACUGACGCUGAGGCGCGAAAGCGUGGGGAGCAAACAGGAUUAGAUACCCUGGUAGUCCACGCUGUAAACGAUGUAUGCUAGAUGUUAGGCAACCUAGUUGUUUAGUGUCGGAGCUAACGCGAUAAGCAUACCGCCUGGGGAGUACGGCCGCAAGGUUG
This 370-nucleotide ribosomal RNA is filed under the name uncultured bacterium. RNAcentral describes it as "bacterial SSU rRNA". It matches the Rfam family "Bacterial small subunit ribosomal RNA", at positions 527 to 896 of the family's 1533-position model. The record is from RNAcentral.